GAUGAACGCUGGCGGCGUGCUUAACACAUGCAAGUCGAACGAUGAAGCUGCCUGCUUGCAGGUGGUGGAUUAGUGGCGAACGGGUGAGUAUCACGUGAGUAACCUGCCCUUGACUCUGGGAUAAGCCCGGGAAACUGGGUCUAAUACCGGAUAUGACCUCUCAUCGCAUGGUGGGGGGUGGAAAGUUUUUAACGGUCUUGGAUGGGCUCGCGGCCUAUCAGCUUGCCGGGGGGGUAGUGGCCUACCGUGGCUUUGACGGGUAGCCGGCCUGAGAGGGUGACCGGCCACGCUGGGACUGAGACACGGCCCAGACUCCUACGGGAGGCAGCAGUGGGGAAUAUUGCACAAUGGGCGCAAGCCUGAUGCAGCGACGCCGCGUGCGGGAUGACGGCCUUCGGGUUGUAAACCGCUUUCAGUACAGAAGAAGCCCUUUUUGGGUGACGGUAUGUGCAGAAGAAGCGCCGGCUAACUACGUGCCAGCAGCCGCCGUAA
RNAcentral lists this ribosomal RNA (492 nucleotides) under uncultured bacterium. RNAcentral's name for it is "partial 16S ribosomal RNA". It matches the Rfam family "Bacterial small subunit ribosomal RNA", at positions 28 to 523 of the family's 1533-position model. The record is from RNAcentral.